AGAUGGAAUUGGUGGUGUAGGGGUAAAAUCCGUAGAUAUCACCAAGAAUACCCAUUGCGAAGGCGAUCUGCUGGAACUCAACUGACGCUAAGGCGCGAAAGCGUGGGGAGCAAACAGGAUUAGAUACCCUGGUAGUCCACGCCCUAAACGAUGUACACUAGUUGUUGGGAUGCUAGUCAUCUCAGUAAUGCAGCUAACGCAUUAAGUGUACCGCCUGGGGAGUACGGUCGCAAGAUUAAAACUCAAAGGAAUAGACGGGGACCCGCACAAGCGGUGGAGCAUGUGGUUUAAUUCGAAGAUACGCGAAGAACCUUACCUGGGCUUGAUAUCCUAAGAACCUUAUAGAGAUAUGAGGGUGCUAGCUUGCUAGAACUUAGAGACAGGUGCUGCACGGCUGUCGUCAGCUCGUGUCGUGAGAUGUUGGGUUAAGUCCCGCAACGAGCGCAACCCACGUAUUUAGUUGCUAACGGUUCGGCCGAGCACUCUAAAUAGACUGCCUUCGUAAGGAGGAGGAAGGUGUGGACGACGUCAAGUCAUCAUGGCCCUUAUGCCCAGGGCGACACACGUGCUACAAUGGCAUAUACAAUGAGACGCAAUACCGCGAGGUGGAGCAAAUCUAUAAAAUAUGUCCCAGUUCGGAUUGUUCUCUGCAACUCGAGAGCAUGAAGCCGGAAUCGCUAGUAAUCGUAGAUCAGCCAUGCUACGGUGAAUACGUUCCCGGGUCUUGUACUCACCGCCCGUCACACCAUGGGAGUUGAUUUCACUCGAAGCCGGAAUACUAAACUAGUUACCGUCCACAGUGGAAUCAGCGACUGGGGUGAAGUCGUAACAAGGUAACCGUAGGAGAACCUGCGGUUG
This 858-nucleotide ribosomal RNA is filed under the name Campylobacter jejuni. RNAcentral describes it as "bacterial SSU rRNA". It matches the Rfam family "Bacterial small subunit ribosomal RNA", at positions 659 to 1520 of the family's 1533-position model. The record is from RNAcentral. Lineage: Bacteria; Pseudomonadati; Campylobacterota; Epsilonproteobacteria; Campylobacterales; Campylobacteraceae.